CGGGCUUGAACUGUAGGUGACGGAAUCAGAGAUGGUUCUUUCUUCGGACUCCUAUGGAGGUGCUGCAUGGUUGUCGUCAGCUCGUGCCGUGAGGUGUCGGCUUAAGUGCCAUAACGAGCGCAACCCCUGCCGCUAGUUGCCAUCAGGUGAUGCUGGGCACUCUGGCGGGACUGCCACCGCAAGAUGCGAGGAGGGUGGGGAUGACGUCAAAUCAGCACGGCCCUUACGUCCGGGGCUACACACGUGUUACAAUGGGGGGCACAGAGCGCCGCCACCCGGUGACGGGGCGCGAAUCGUGAAAUCCCCUCUCAGUUCGGACUGGAGUCUGUAACCCGACUCCACGAAGCUGGAUUCGCUAGUAAUCGCGCAUCAGCCAUGGCGCGGUGAAUACGUUCCCGGGCC
Molecule: ribosomal RNA, 402 nt
Filed under: uncultured bacterium
Lineage: Bacteria
Description: bacterial SSU rRNA
Rfam family: Bacterial small subunit ribosomal RNA
Source: RNAcentral